AUAUUGUACAAUGGGGGCAACUCUGAUCCAGCCAUGCCGUGUGUGUGAAGAAGGCCUUCAGAUUGUAAAGCUAUUUAUGUUGGGAGGAAAGGCUUUCGGUUACUACCCUGAAGCUUUGCCGUCACCAACAGCAUAAGCACCGUCUAACUCUGUACCAGCAGCCGCGGUAAUACGGAGGGUGCAAGCGUUAAUCGGACUUACUGGGCGUAAAGCGCGCGUAGGUGGUUCAGUAAGAUAGGUGUGAAAGCCCCGGGAUUAACCUGGGAACUGCUUUCAUAACUGCUGGGCUAGAGUACGGUAAAGGGUAGUGGAAUUUCCUGUGUAGCGGUGAAAUGCGUAGAUAUAGGAAGGAACACCAGUGGCGAAGGCGACUACCUGGACUGAUACUGACACUGAGGUGCGAAAGCGUGGGGAGCAAAC
This 420-nucleotide ribosomal RNA is filed under the name uncultured bacterium. Its description in RNAcentral is "partial 16S ribosomal RNA". It matches the Rfam family "Bacterial small subunit ribosomal RNA", at positions 361 to 773 of the family's 1533-position model. The record is from RNAcentral.